RNAcentral lists this ribosomal RNA (482 nucleotides) under uncultured bacterium. Its description in RNAcentral is "bacterial SSU rRNA". It matches the Rfam family "Bacterial small subunit ribosomal RNA", at positions 25 to 507 of the family's 1533-position model. The record is from RNAcentral.
CAGGACGAACGCUGGCGGCGUGCCUAACACAUGCAAGUCGAACGGAACUUCUUUAAAGGAUUCUUCGGAAUGAAUUUGAUUAAGUUUAGUGGCGGACGGGUGAGUAACGCGUGAGUAACCUGCCUCUAAGAGGGGAAUAACAUUCUGAAAAGAAUGCUAAUACCGCAUAAUAUAUAUUUAUCGCAUGGUAGAUAUAUCAAAGAUUUAUCGCUUAGAGAUGGACUCGCGUCCGAUUAGGUUGUUGGUGAGGUAACGGCUCACCAAGCCUUCGAUGGAUAGGGGUUCUGAGAGGAAGGUCCCCCCACAUUGGAACUGAGACACGGCCCAAACUCCUACGGGAGGCAGCAGUGGGAAUAUUGCACAAUGGGGGAAACCCUGAUGCAGCGACGCCGCGUGGAGGAAGAAGGUCUUCGGAUUGUAAACUCCUGUUGUUGAGGAAGAUAAUGACGGUACUCAACAAGGAAGUGACGGCUAACUACGUG